CUCCUUUAAGGGUCCCCCUCACUCCUUCAAAUGGGGAGGAGGCCAAAACAUCACUGAACCUGGAGGCUGGCUGGAGGGGCUAAGAUUCUAUGAAUUGCAAGAGAAGCUGGCAUCCUAGUCUGUGAAGGGAAGAUCCUAUGACUACCUACCUGGGCUACUCUUGCCCCACCAACAGAGGGCCUAAACAGGUUGACAAUUCCUUUUCAAAGAUUGAAAAGUCUGAAGUCUCUCCCUCUACUUAUGUAACUCGUAUGGAACUCACUUACUUAAAAAGAAUCUCUCAUUUUUUCUACCUUCCUGAUGUGGAAAUAUCCCUCAGCUUUUCAAAAUGAAGGCUGCCAAGUUCAAGGUAGGAUUUUCCAAUGCAACACAAAUUGACUAUUUACAAUGUUUGUUUGUUUUUCAAUUAAAAUGUUAGGGUUUUUUGUUGUUUUUGUUUUUUUUAAAAGGAGCACCAGGGAAUUGAUCCUCAGAAGAAGUAAAUCUAUGGUGACUGAAUUUCCCAUGAAGUUCUGCAAAAUUUACUCAGACACUUCCAACUGUUGCCCCUGUGAACCAGUUGCAUAAUUAUUUCUUGAAAAUAACAUAUAAAAAGGACUCAAAACCAUCACAACACUCCUCACAAUCAGAUUUUUACCUGCCUAUAUUCUGUUCACCAAUAGCGUGUUGGCAAUGCAUUUAUUUUUGCACAUGCUGCAGGCUGUCUGUAUUUCUUUGCUUCUGCAUUCAAAUUAAGCAUGUUAAAAACAGGCCAUUUUAAAGCUGCUAAUGGUAUUUAGAGGAGCUUGCAGAAACCCAUGCAAAGACUGAGAAAAAAAAACUUACAGAAAGAGGCCUCAUUGUAAGAAAUAAGACACUAAUGAAACUUUCCAUAUUUUAGAGAUGCCUAAUAUUGUUACCGGAAUCCUUAUAAUAGAACAAACAUUUUCUGUUUCUAUUACUCACAAAAAUUAGGCUGAACUGUGGUUUUCUCUCUGCGCAGAGUUUUCAGUGUACAAGGGGAGCUACUGUAUAACAAUGGCUGAGAACUACAGUCUGUAGCAUAAUUCAUUCGGUAACAUGGAACUCUUCAUUAUUAAAAACCUCUCAAAUUCUAUACAAACACUGUAUAAAAAGGAUGUAAAACAGAAGUACAUGCACAGAAAUAUAGCUAUCUACUAAACUACAGUUCAAGAUCCUUUUCCACUCUCACCUUCUUGCACAGCCACCUCGGGCUCACUUUUCUGUGAGAAGGUCAGUGCCUCCACUGGCUCUUCCUUUGCUGGGAGAGGUGGAGGAGAAGUACCUUUAGCAACAGGUUGAGUAAUCUGGGUCUUGCCAAUGACAGGUGGCUGUACUCUAACUGCAGGGUGAUGAUAUAGCUUGUUUCUAUGAGAGCCAGAAACCGUAUAACCCAUUCCACCAGGGCAGAUUUCCUUAAAAGCAGCUAGAUUUGGGAUGGGAAAAUAUUCCUUUUAAGAGUCUAAAAGUGCAAUAUUUUGACACAAUGGAAAAUAUAAUGAACAAAAAUUAACUCUGCUACUGUAUGUACAUUUUAACAACAAAAUAUGCUAUAGUUAAGAACAAACAUUAUUGCAUGCUAAUGUUGAAUACCUCUGAAAAAUUACUUUAGGAUUUAAUUCAUUCCUCUAUAAAAGGCUUUUCCUCCAGUUUAUUAUUUUUUUCUUCAGCUGUGUUAAAUAUGCCUCUUCAUCUGAACCAUUUUUAAUUAAUCUAAUUCAAAUAGUAUGUUAUUUCUGAGGUGACUUUUCAUCUGAAACUUGUCAUUGUUUAUAGAGCAUAAGUAACUAGGAUUUAUUAUUUCUAUAGUUCCCUUUUUGAAGUUGCCAAAGAAUAAAAAGUAGCUUCUCACUACCACUGAACCAGAGACAUUAAACUGAAAAAUCUUGAUUUAUAACAUUUAUUUAAGCGAUAUGAAUCAACUACACUAGAAACCGGACAUAGUCCUUGAUCUAGAGCCCACUGAACUCAACAUGAGUGAGUCUUUCCAUAGACGUCAGUUGGCUUUGGAUAAUGCCCAUAAUGAAUGUUAAAAUUCUAGUGAAACAAUGAUAUACUUCAUAGGUCCUAACAUGGAGUUACCUGGUUUAUAAAUCAGUCUCUCAGAAUAAGUGAAAUUGAAUGAAAUUUAACCCUGGAAAAGAUUAUUUCAGUGAAAUACUAACAUCUCCUACAAUUUGAAAAGUUCUGCUGGAUACUAUCUAAUUGCUGGGGAGGAGACCACUGAAAAAAGUGUUACCAGCAAAAGCAUAUUUUAGACUGGGGUUUUUAAGAGAGUCAUGUGUAGCAAUCUGACUUUAAAAACAGUGUUAUUAGAAAAGUAAACAUUUUAAAAAUAGGCAAUGGCUAUAAUUUACAUGAAAAAUAUCUCAUUUUAAAAAUUAUUUUGUCAUAUAUUAAUCUUUAAAUGAAAGAUAAAAAAUGUUUCAGUAACUCAAAUGUGAUAUUAAUAAAUGAUUUAAAGGAAA
Mauremys reevesii (Reeves's turtle) is the source of this 2468-nucleotide long non-coding RNA. RefSeq lists it as uncharacterized. The transcript is spliced from 3 exons. NCBI's taxonomy places the organism in Eukaryota, Metazoa, Chordata, Testudines, Geoemydidae. The record is from RefSeq and is a predicted model, not a curated record.